CACAGCUUAGUUCGCUGCAUCAGUGACCUGAGCAGUGAAAGUUCUUUUGUUUACUUGAAAAUCACUAUUUCAUACAAUUACAUGAGUUUCUUUCAUAUUUCGAAAUCAUAUUUCGUAUAAAGACAAACGUGUGUAGUAUAAGAAUAAAAUAUGCAAAGUAAAUUGAAUGAUACUAAAGACAAUAAAAGCAUGGUGAAGCCAUUACGAGACUAAGCCAGUUAUAAUACAUAGUUACAACGAGUGCAAUACUGCAAAGAUCUGGAUCAUAUUUAACUGUAAAAAGAUGAAAUUUUACAUAUUUUUGAAUUUUAAUUUUGAUUUCGCAUGAAUUUCUAUUAUAUAAUUCCAAAUACUGCAUAAUAUAAAAAGAAUUAUUUAAUAUAACGUUAACAUUUCAUUAUAAAAAAAUUAAUACGACCAAAAUAAUAUCAAUAUCAUAAAUGCUAAAAAAUAUUAUAUAUAUUAAAAUAAUAAUCUGGAAAUUAUACAUAAUCGAUAAAUAUGUUGUAACAUGUAAAGAUGAUACAUCGAAUGAAUUUGUUAUACGAUCGAUUAUAACUUUCACGAGUGCGAGUUCUUCUUGUUCACUACUUUACGCUGCACUUAUAUACGCGUCAAAUCACGUCUAAACAUUGCGUUAAGAUAAGCACACGUAUCUUUGAUUCAUAUACAAUAUUGUUUGUGUCACGAAUGCGUUCGAUCCCGUGGAGCUCACGUGCCGUAAAUUAUUCGGUGAGAAUAGCAGAGCAGCCGUGUUGCAACGCAUGCGCAUGCUCGCACUCAAAGCAGAAAUUAAACUGUGGAUCGCUGCGAUCGAAAUAACUCGCGACGGAGAACAGGUUUCCACGGAUUCCUACGAUAGAAUUUGCACCGUAGAUAAAUC
This is a long non-coding RNA of Apis dorsata (giant honeybee), 883 nucleotides long. RefSeq lists it as uncharacterized. NCBI's taxonomy places the organism in Eukaryota, Metazoa, Arthropoda, Insecta, Hymenoptera, Apidae. The transcript has 2 exons. The record is from RefSeq and is a predicted model, not a curated record.